UAGCUUGCUACCUGACCUAGCGGCGGACGGGUGAGUAAUGCUUAGGAAUCUGCCUAUUAGUGGGGGACAACAUUCCGAAAGGAAUGCUAAUACCGCAUACGCCCUACGGGGGAAAGCAGGGGAUCUUCGGACCUUGCGCUAAUAGAUGAGCCUAAGUCAGAUUAGCUAGUUGGUGGGGUAAAGGCCUACCAAGGCGACGAUCUGUAGCGGGUCUGAGAGGAUGAUCCGCCACACUGGGACUGAGACACGGCCCAGACUCCUACGGGAGGCAGCAGUGGGGAAUAUUGGACAAUGGGCGAAAGCCUGAUCCAGCCAUGCCGCGUGUGUGAAGAAGGCCUUUUGGUUGUAAAGCACUUUAAGCGAGGAGGAGGCUACUUAGAUUAAUACUCUAGGAUAGUGGACGUUACUCGCAGAAUAAGCACCGGCUAACUCUGUGCCAGCAGCCGCGGUAAUACAGAGGGUGCGAGCGUUAAUCGGAUUUACUGGGCGUAAAGCGUGCGUAGGCGGCUUUUUAAGUCGGAUGUGAAAUCCCUGAGCUUAACUUAGGAAUUGCAUUCGAUACUGGGAAGCUAGAGUAUGGGAGAGGAUGGUAGAAUUCCAGGUGUAGCGGUGAAAUGCGUAGAGAUCUGGAGGAAUACCGAUGGCGAAGGCAGCCAUCUGGCCUAAUACUGACGCUGAGGUACGAAAGCAUGGGGAGCAAACAGGAUUAGAUACCCUGGUAGUCCAUGCCGUAAACGAUGUCUACUAGCCGUUGGGGCCUUUGAGGCUUUAGUGGCGCAGCUAACGCGAUAAGUAGACCGCCUGGGGAGUACGGUCGCAAGACUAAAACUCAAAUGAAUUGACGGGGGCCCGCACAAGCGGUGGAGCAUGUGGUUUAAUUCGAUGCAACGCGAAGAACCUUACCUGGUCUUGACAUAGUAAGAACUUUCCAGAGAUGGAUUGGUGCCUUCGGGAACUUACAUACAGGUGCUGCAUGGCUGUCGUCAGCUCGUGUCGUGAGAUGUUGGGUUAAGUCCCGCAACGAGCGCAACCCUUUUCCUUAUUUGCCAGCGGGUUAAGCCGGGAACUUUAAGGAUACUGCCAGUGACAAACUGGAGGAAGGCGGGGACGACGUCAAGUCAUCAUGGCCCUUACGACCAGGGCUACACACGUGCUACAAUGGUCGGUACAAAGGGUUGCUACCUAGCGAUAGGAUGCUAAUCUCAAAAAGCCGAUCGUAGUCCGGAUUGGAGUCUGCAACUCGACUCCAUGAAGUCG
Molecule: ribosomal RNA, 1257 nt
Filed under: uncultured Acinetobacter sp.
Lineage: Bacteria; Pseudomonadati; Pseudomonadota; Gammaproteobacteria; Moraxellales; Moraxellaceae
Description: bacterial SSU rRNA
Rfam family: Bacterial small subunit ribosomal RNA
Source: RNAcentral